UACGAAGGGGGCUAGCGUUGCUCGGAAUUACUGGGCGUAAAGCGCACGUAGGCGGCUCUUUAAGUCGGGGGUGAAAUCCUGGAGCUCAACUCCAGAACUGCCUUCGAUACUGUAGAGCUUGAGUUCGGCAGGGGAGACUGGAAUUCCUGGUGUAGCGGUGAAAUGCGCAAAUAUCAGGAGGAACACCGGUGGCGAAGGCGGGUCUCUGGGCCGAUACUGACGCUGAGGAGCGAAAGCGUGGGGAGCGAACAGG
Molecule: ribosomal RNA, 253 nt
Filed under: uncultured bacterium
Lineage: Bacteria
Description: partial 16S ribosomal RNA
Rfam family: Bacterial small subunit ribosomal RNA
Source: RNAcentral